AUGAAGGGUGACAGAAUUAUCAUUGCACAGGAGAGUCUGGAUGUAGCCAUCGAGAGGUUGAAGGGGCAGGUUAUUACAUCUAAGAAUCUCUCUCAAACACAAACUCUGAAGAAUGUGGCGAUACAUGAGUGUGCCCGCAAUUUUAUAUCUUCUACUGUUCCUCUUGAUGGAAUUGGAGUGGAAUUCGAUGAUGGUUGGCUGCUUAAGGAUAUCAAGAGGACAGUGCAUGAGCUUGUUGCCCUUCCAACAUGGAUACCGGAGCAUUUUUCUCAUGUCAAGUUAUUAAGGGUAAAUGUUGCUUUUCUGCUGGAUUUAACGGCCUCUAUGUGCCUGGACCCUCCUAAGCCCUACAAAGGUGUUUUGGUUUUUGGGCCUCCUGGCACAGGAAAAACACUCUUGGAAGAGGCACUCACAACAGAAGUUGAGACAAAAUUUAUCAGCGGUUCUACACUGACAUCAGAGGUGAUAAGAACCCAGCAGGACAAUGAACUUAAAGAGGCAGCGCUAUGGGCUUAUCACAAAGAAGAACAACAAAUAAAAUCGUUUGGAAAGCAGCAUGAAGCAAGGAGACAAGAUAGAAGAAUCACAAAAUGUUGGAGGAGUGCCGUCGAGUCUGCAGAGCAAGAUACUGUGUGGCCGCACACUACUGCUGACAGUGACGUUGCAAAAGUUAGAAAGAGUCCAGGAAACAGUGCAACAAUUGUUAUAGAUGAAGAUGAUUUGCCAGCAACCCGUCGGAGCUAUAGAAGAGGAAUAAGAAGGAUGCGUUCAUGGUGUCGUGCCAAUGGAAUGCAGAAAGAUAUUUCUUCAAUUCUUGGAGAGGGCUUCGAAGUUUACACGACACCAGCGGACGGCACAUUUCACCUCACAUUUGUGUGCAAGAAGAACUGGAUAACAUUCUUUUUCUAUGGAAGGAAUUUGUACAUGAAGGGGUGGAAUGGGCCGUUUGGUAUCUUCGAAAUACAGUCAGAUGCACAUGUAGGGCCGAACUACAUCCCUGACCCGUCAUGCACGGUUUUGAAGACUGGUGAAAGCUAUAACGAUCUUUGCACAAGAGGAAAAGUAGGCAGUGUGAGAAUCGGUCCUCAUGUGCUGAUAGAUUACUUGGAGGUUUUGUGCAAGUGCAGAGGGAUCAUAUCCAAUGAGCUUUUAUCUGCGAUAGCUACUUAUAUUGUCAGCACAGCAGAAGCAGUCCGUCUCGAAGAUGUUUUUAAGGAAGUUGAUGAGUCGUUCAGUAAUUAUCAUCUUCAUAAUCUGAACAGCAGAAGUGACCUUGGGUUCCAAGUCAGGUCAUAUGGGCACUAUUCAACUGAGAUUCUGCAGUAUGUGGAUUUCGUUCUAAGAGGAGAGCCACCUGAGGAGAUAGUCAACCGUGGCACUGGAAAUUACAAGACACUGAAGGAGUUGGUCGAGAAAAUCAAAGUGCCGCUACGUGACUCCUACAUAGAGGGAAUAUUUCAGCAUGAGCCAAAGCCCGAAUCAGUGGUUUGGUGUCCCCCAAUUCUGGGCUCUAUAGGAGAAGAAGAGAUGGAUGAGGAAGAAGAUGAGCUGCAAGAUGAUGCUGAUUCAGGGCAUGGAAGAUAA
Molecule: ribosomal RNA, 1584 nt
Filed under: Triticum aestivum (bread wheat)
Lineage: Eukaryota; Viridiplantae; Streptophyta; Magnoliopsida; Poales; Poaceae
Description: partial small subunit ribosomal RNA
Source: RNAcentral